Molecule: long non-coding RNA, 1194 nt
Organism: Gossypium raimondii (Peruvian cotton)
Lineage: Eukaryota; Viridiplantae; Streptophyta; Magnoliopsida; Malvales; Malvaceae
Exons: 2
Source: RefSeq, a predicted model, not a curated record
GCUGCAACGGUAGAAGACUGAGAAAUCAGAGCCGGAGCGGAGGGCCACCGCUUGGUGCUUUUGGGGUCCGGCGGUGUUCUCAAAAGUGAUGUCACGAGCUAUGAAGCCAUCACCAACGACGGCUGAAAGAAGAAACGAACGAACGAUUUCUUUUGGCACCGCCAGCCGCCGCCACCGCCUCUGAUAUAGUCUUGAAGUUGCCAGAACCAUCUUGAGCCACCACAAUGUCAGCAUUUAACGGUGCACCGAUUUUUUGCAAGAGCUUUCGGUCGGCACCGGAAAGCCAAGUGGGGAAUCCAUGAGCAAACAGGCGUCUAUUGCCAACUUGUUUAGCGGUAACACUAAUAGUGGGCUUAUUGAUGGCCAGGGAAUUGCUAAUCAACUUGGAAAAGUUGGCUAGCAUGGGUGGUAAAGUUUGUAAAUGAGAGGCCAAGUUGAAGUCAAUGAAGCCGUUUUGACAAGUUUGAUGGUUGGCAAUGGCAGCACUUAACCAGGUUUGAGCAUCUAAUGGACUGUUGGUGCUCUUUGAUCGGUUAAGAUGGGAAAUGGUGUUCUGGUAGAGCUCAAGCAAUCGUUCCAAGCCAAUUUGGCUCGCUCAUUGAAAGAAGUCAAGUCCAUGGUAGAGACGAGGCGAUGAGCUUGAACCGCUUGGUUUAGGGUGACCUGAAUCGCAAGGUCACGGAAGGAGAAGCGGGUUUGAUCAAGGGCAAGGCUUGAUGUUGCAACAUUAACACCAUUUCCCAUGAAAUGGUUGCAGACAUCGGGGUAGGGUGUUUGGGUACAUGAUGUUAUUGUAGCUGCAGCGUUCCCUAGGGGAACACAAGUGAAGAAAUAAGUAAUGAGAAAUGGUAGGGCAAGAAGCUUAUCCAUGAAGACGAUCAGUUUUAGCUCUAAAGUUGGGAAUGUUUGAAUUGAUGAAAAGAGGGGGAGGGAAGAGUGGUUUAUAUAGAGCUACAAAAAAGUGGGAGAAAGCAUGAAUUGUGAAGGGGGAUCAAUUUCCUCAUUUGCUGGGGCCUGGGGGCUUGCUUUGUGGCUCAGGGCAUUUGUAUGGUUUGUUUCUUUAUUUUAUUUUGUUAAUACUAUGGACAUAAUAAAAAAUAUAUUAAUAAUAAGAGGGUGAAGACAUUGACUCAUAAGUCUUGCCUAUUUCUAACUUUAGACACUUGGGUUUGGUAUAAAAGAAUUUUGUUCCAA